AAAGAAUGAAUAUAAUUAUCUACCACUCUCAUAAUCAUGCAAUGUGUUGUUUUGGUUUGCUUGUUUCUUUUAUUCUAAAUUCUACUCUAAGAUUUACACUUUAUUUGCAUGUUUUGUAUAUAUAUAUAUAUAUAUAUAUAUGACAUCAAGUUAUUAAUUGAUGAUUUAUGGUUAUGCUGUCAGUGAAUUUUUUAAUUUUCUUAAUUUUUAAUUUUGUAAAGAGGUAAAUAAUGUUUUGACAAAUUAUUCUAGAAUUUCAUGUCCAAAUUCAAGUUUACUGAUUAGGUUAGUUUGGAUUACUCACAACUAAUGACUUCAAAAAUCACCCUGAUAGUGUAAACAUCCAUACUAAUUCAUCAUGAGGUUUAUAAGACUGCACACCCUGAUAUGUACCCUUAAGACACUACAACUUCAAAAUGUCUGAUAAUGAGGUAUGAAAUUAUUGUAAAUUAAAAUAUUAAGCAUUUAACACUCUAUAAAAGACAACACAAAAAAAUAAAAAUUAUUAAUGAAACUAAGUUACAUUUCUUCAUUUCAAUUCAAGCUUUCAAACUUACACUAUGGUGCUUUGAAAUAUCUGUUUGAUUCAGCAUUCACAAAUAUCCAAAGUUUAGCAAAGUGCAGAAGAUUUAAAUAUCUGCACAAGCACAGAUGUAAACUCUUCAAAUACACAUUACCAUACAAUUUCAAAUUAUAUAUACAUUUAUUUAUUUAUAUG
This 718-nucleotide long non-coding RNA is filed under the name Physcomitrium patens. RNAcentral describes it as "long non-coding RNA (PPAT_LNC003783)". Lineage: Eukaryota; Viridiplantae; Streptophyta; Bryopsida; Funariales; Funariaceae. The record is from RNAcentral.